This 464-nucleotide ribosomal RNA is filed under the name uncultured bacterium. Its description in RNAcentral is "partial 16S ribosomal RNA". It matches the Rfam family "Bacterial small subunit ribosomal RNA", at positions 28 to 506 of the family's 1533-position model. The record is from RNAcentral.
GACGAACGCUGGCGGCGUGCUUAACACAUGUAAGUCGUACGGUAAGGCCCUUUCGGGGGUACACGAGUGGCGAACGGGUGAGUAACACGUGAGUAACCUGCCCACAACUUUGGGAUAACGCUAGGAAACUGGUGCUAAUACUGGAUAUGUGCUCCUGCUGCAUGGUGGGGGUUGGAAAGCUCCGGCGGUUGUGGAUGGACUCGCGGCCUAUCAGCUUGUUGGUGGGGUAGUGGCCUACCAAGGCGGCGACGGGUAGCCGGCCUGAGAGGGUGACCGGCCACAUUGGGACUGAGAUACGGCCCAGACUCCUACGGGAGGCAGCAGUGGGGAAUAUUGCACAAUGGGCGCAAGCCUGAUGCAGCAACGCCGCGUGCGGGAUGACGGCCUUCGGGUUGUAAACCGCUUUCAGCAGGGACGAAGCUUUUUGUGACGGUACCUGCAGAAGAAGCACCGGCUAACUACGU